This 434-nucleotide ribosomal RNA is filed under the name uncultured Lachnospiraceae bacterium. RNAcentral's name for it is "bacterial SSU rRNA". It matches the Rfam family "Bacterial small subunit ribosomal RNA", at positions 341 to 792 of the family's 1533-position model. The record is from RNAcentral. Lineage: Bacteria; Bacillati; Bacillota; Clostridia; Lachnospirales; Lachnospiraceae.
ACGGAAGGCAGCAGUGGGGAAUAUUGGACAAUGGGGGAAACCCUGAUCCAGCGACGCCGCGUGAGUGAAGAAGUAUUUCGGUAUGUAAAGCUCUAUCAGCAAGGAAGAAAAUGACGGUACUUGACUAAGAAGCCCCGGCUAACUACGUGCCAGCAGCCGCGGUAAUACGUAGGGGGCAAGCGUUAUCCGGAUUUACUGGGUGUAAAGGGAGCGUAGACGGCGAGGCAAGUCUGAUGUGAAAGCCAUGGGCUCAACCCAUGAACUGCAUUGGAAACUGUUUUGCUUGAGUGUCGGAGAGGUAAGCGGAAUUCCUAGUGUAGCGGUGAAAUGCGUAGAUAUUAGGAGGAACACCAGUGGCGAAGGCGGCUUACUGGACGAUAACUGACGUUGAGGCUCGAAAGCGUGGGGAGCAAACAGGAUUAGAUACCCUGGUA